AGACGGAGCCUCUGUCUGUCACCAGGCAGGAGUGCAGUGGUGAGAUCUCGGCUCACUGCAAUCUCCGCCUCUUGGGUUCAAGCGAUUCUUCUGCCUCAGCCUCCCGAGUAGCUGGGACUACAGACACGUGCCACCAUGCCCAGCUAAUUUUUGUAUUUUUAGUGGAGAGAAGGUUUCACCGUGUUGGCCAGGAUGGUCUCGAUCUCUUGACCUCGUGAUACGUCUGUAAUCUCAGCAUUUUGGGAGGCUGAGGCAUGCGGAUCACCCGAGGUCAGGUUGCCCCGGCUGGAGUGCAGUGGUGCGAUCUCGGCUCACUGCAACCUCCGCCUCCUGGGUUCAAGCGGUUCUCCUGCCUCAGCCUCCUGAGUAGCUGGGAUUACAGGCACACACUGCCACGCCUGGCUAAUUUUUUGUAUUUUAGUAGAGACAGGGUUUCACCGUCUUGAACUCUUGAGCUCAGACAAUCUGUCCGCCUGGGCCUCCCAAAGUGUUGGAAUUACAGGGGUGGACCACCGCGCCUGUAAUUUUGGGUUCACAGCAAAAUUGAGCAGAAGGUACAGAGAUUAUUUCCCAUAUGCCCUUUGUCCUUCUGCAUGUAUAGCCUCCCCUGUUAUCAACAUCCACCCCAUUAGAGUAGUGCUUUUGUUAUAAUCUACAUUGGCAUAUCAUAAUCACCCAAAGUCCAUAGUUUACAAUAGGGUGCACUCUUGGUGUUGUACAUUAUGUGGUUUUGGACAAAUUUAUAAUGACAUAUAUCCACCAUUAUAGUAUCAUACAAAAUACCACAAUGCUCUGAACAUCCUCUGGGUUCUGCCUAGUCAUCCCUCCCUCCCCUACCAACCCGUGGCAACCACUGAUCUUUUAUUGUCUCUGUAGUUUUGCCUUUUCCAGAAUGUCAUACAGUUGAAAUCAUACAAUACGUGGCCUUUUCAGAUUGGCUUCUUUCACAAGUACUCUGCAUUUAAGGUUCUUCCAUGUUAAGCAUAGCUUGAUCGCUCUUUUUUUUAGUGCUGAAUAAUAUUCCAUUUUCUAGGUUUACCACAGUUGAUUUAUCCAUUCACCUACUGAAGGAUAUCUUGGUUUCUUCCAAGUUUUGGCAAUUAUGAAAAAAGCUGGUAUAAACGUGUGUGUGCAGGUUUUUGUGUGGAUAUAAUUUUUCAACUAUGGGUAAAUACCAAGGUGCAUGAUUGCUGGAUUGUAUGGUAAAACUAUGUUUAGUUGUAGAAGAAACUGCCAAACUGUCUUCCAAUGUGAUUGUGUUGAUUUUGUAUUCCUACCAGCAAUGAAUGAGAGUUCUUGUGACUCCACGUUUUUGCCAUCAUUUGGUGUUGUUAGUGUUCUGCAUUUUGGUCAUUCUAAUAGGUGUGCGGUGGUAUCUCGUUGUUUUAAUUUGCAUUUUCCCAAUAAUAUAUGAUGUGGAGCACGUUUUCAUGUGAUUAUUUGCCACCCUUAUAUCUUUGUUGGUGAGGUGUCUGUUAAGGUCUUUGGCCCAUUUUAAAAUCUGAUCACUUUCUUAUUGUUGAGUGUUUUUGUUUGUUUGCUUGUUUUUGAGACAGAGUCUCACUCCGUCACCAGGCUGAUCUUGGCUCACUGCAACCGCCAUUUCCCGGGUUCAAGCGAUUCUCCUCCCUCAGCCUCCCAAGUAGCUGAAACUACAAGUGCUCGUCACCAUGCCCAGCUAAUUUUUGUAUUUUUAGUAGAGACGGGGUUUCACCAUGUUGGCCAGGAUGGUCUUGAUCUCUUGACCUCGUGAUCUGCCCACCUUGGCCUCCCAAAGGGCUGGGAGCCACCAUGCCCAGCCUAUUGUUGAGUUUUAAGAGUAUUUUGUGUAUUUUGUAUAAUAGUGCUUUAUCCAAUAUGUCUUUUGCAAAUAUCUUCUCCUAAUUUGUUGCUUGUCUUUUCAUUUUCUUGACAGUUUCUUUAUGGAGCAGAAAUUUUGAAAGUUCAAAGAUCAGUUGAUUAUAUUUAUGAUAAGUCUACUUUUCUUCCACGUAACAACCACAGGAUAGAUGACAUUCAUUUUCUAAGAAACAAAAUCUUGGCAGUUAGAUCCGUGGGGUAAAGAAUAUAGAUACUAAUGUAAGUUAACACCUCAAGUUCAUGUCCUUGGUUUGGAUGCUUUGUUCAGGAGUGUUUAGUGGUAUUUCAAAGGAAUCAAUAUCUAUAACAAAUUAAAAUAACCAGGAAUGGACCAGUGAUGGAAAUGUGUUCCGAAAAUAUGUUUAAUAUAAUUUGGCACAACUGAAGUGAUAAAAAUAUAGUAGUUAGACCAUUUAUAUUCACAAUUAUUUAACAUUGUAUCUUAUUUUCUACCUCAAAUGAUUUAAUCUUUUCCAUAUUGGUAUGGUCCUGGCCGAUAACUCUUUGUGUGGCAGCCUGAGAGAAUAUGGAAGACACUGUCAGUGUUGGAAGAUGGUGGUUUUAUCACUUUUCAUUGCACUGUCUUUAAAACAUGGGCAAAUUGACUAAAAGAAGACUACAGAAGAAAUAAUGGUGAUUGUGAAUUUGAAUGAAAACCAUGUAGCUGGUCUUAUUAUUCUCUAAUCAUGAAGACCAUUAUUGUUAUUUGUGGACUAAGGAGCAGAAAGACUGAUAGUGGACAUAGGCCAGCUGAUUUAAUAAUUUAAGAAAGAACUGUUAUCCUGAGUAAGGAGCAUAGAGACAAAUAUAAAAUGAACGCACUCUACCUGAUUUAAUUAUAGUCUUCUGGUGAAGAUCUUGCUGUUAUCUCUGUGAAUCAGGAGAGAAGAGAUUGAUAAGGAAUAGACGAGAUUGGAUUUGGUCAUUUCCCCAAGGUGAAGAGCAUGGCGAUUUCUUCUGUGGUAAGGAGCAAUAAUGAAGACCAUGGUUGAUUUAAUCAGUCUCUGCUGAUGAAGAUCUUGGCUGUUACCUUUGUGUAAUGAAUGCGCAAUGAUUCAAUUAUUCUCCAGCGAGGAAGAUCAUGGUUGUUGUCUGUUUGAGUAAUGAGUGUAGAAACCUAUAAUGGAGGCGUGAUGGCUGAUGCAAUCAUUUUCCACUGAUGAAGGUUUUGAUGGCCACCUGUAAUGAACAGCCCCAUCUGAUUUAAUCACUGUGCAAUGACCGUGAACUGUACAGUUACCUCCGUGUGUCACAGGAAGACUCUUUUGACUUAAGCACCCUUCCAUGGUCAUGAGGUUUCUGGUUGCCUCUGUGUGUUAGAAGCUUGGAGACCAAUGCCUUCUGCUGUGAUCGCGUUCUCCACAGUUGCCUCUGGGUAGGAGCCUGGACACUAAUAGAAGUUGGAUGCACUUGAGCCGACCUAAGCAUUCAUGGUCAUGAGAUUUGUGGUUGCCACUGUUGGUUAGGAGCAUAGAGAUCAGUAAUGGACACACCUGGGCUGGCAGAACAUCUUGCCUUGAUCUGGAGCCCCAUGUCUGCCCCUCUGUAGAGGUGCACAUGGGCCAAUGAUGGAUGCAAUGAGCUGAUCAUUUUGCUGUGAUCAAGGCUAUGUUGCCUCUGUGUUAGGCCAAUGGUUGAUGUUCAUGGGUGAUUGAUCAUCCUGUAGCGACGGUGGUAUUGACUGUUCCCCAGAGGACAAGGAGUGUGUUCUUAUGUGGAGGCUGUCUGCAGUAGGAGCAUGGAGACCAACAAUGGAUGCUCUUAAACUGAUUUAAGCACGCUUCCAUGGUCAGAAGCCUUAUGGUUGCCACAGGGUAUUAGGAGCAUGGAGACCAAUAAUGGAUGUCCUUGUUCUGAUUUGAGGAUGCCUCCAAGGUCACAUACUCUGUUUGCACCACGCUUAGGAAGGAGCGUGAAGACCAAGGGGAGUAAUAGUCAAAGUCCUUACCUUUGUUUGGGUGGUUUGUUUAAGAGUAAUCAACGUAUUAUUUAAAAGUGUGAAAUACAGUCAAAGAUGGCCAAUGUUAUUCCAGUGAUAUGGGAGUGACAUGAAGUAUUAUAUUGAUGAUGCAUAUAUAAAAAACAGGAUAGUUAAUGAAACACCCAAUGUUUGAGUGAUUCUGUAUACUGAUAGGGAAUAUCAAGAGUGUUACUGGGUUUUGUGAAUCACGGGCCUUGAAAGUAUUAUUAAUGAAUAAAUGACAUAAUCAAUAGACAAGGUAGAAAUGAAUAGCAAAAAAAAAGAAGAUCAAUGAUGACUACUGUUAGUGUAUGAGUUACACAUGAUGAAUACAUGUCUGAAACUCUGAGGUCCAUCACAAAAGAAAUCUGGCCCAUUCCUUCUGAUUCAGGUGAUCCUAUGAAUAUACAAUGUGUUUGCUUUUGGUCUUUGGGUUUGUUCACUUCACUGUAUUAUUAUAAUUGGAUCAAUGAAAUAAUUUAUACGUAUACAUGUACGUAUAUGAAGGGGAUGAAGUAUUGUCCAAUUAUAAAAUAAGUGGUGAGGCAAGAUGUAUUAUUAUUAUUAUAUUAAAGCAUUAUAUUAAAGCUUUAAUAUAUUAAAUAAAAAUCUAAUAUUAAUAUAUAAUUAAUGCAAUAUUUAAUAUAUAUUAAAUAUGAUAACAUAUUAAAAUAUUAUAUUAAAGCAUUGAAGUCCUAAGGGAAAUAAAUGGUACCCCACUGUAACGUCUUUGACUAAGGAUGAUACAGGUGGUAGUUAUAGAUAAUGGUCAACCUCUGGGUCAAGGAAAGUUGCACAAAGUGUUCAUUUUCUUAAGAGAAAAUGAAAUAAUUAUCCUUCAGAUAGUGAUUUCUCAAAUGUUUUCCUAAAGGGAAGAUGAUAAACACAGAUCAUGGAGGACUGUUUUAUCUGUUUGUGAUCUGCCGUCCUCUGUGAGCCUCAGGAUGGAUGUUUGCCAGCCGAUUCCAUGGUUACAAGCUCUAUAGCUGCAUCUAUGUGUUAGGAGCAUGAAGACCAAUAAUGGAUGCACUGAGCUGAUUAUGAAUUUAGCCCUGAUGAAGACUUGUGUUGCUGUCAUGAUAUGAAAGAUUCCAGUAAUGAACGCACUUGAGUUGAUUCAAGCACGCUUCCAUGGUCAUGAGCUCUGUGGUUGCAUCUGUGUGUUAGGAGCAUGCAGACCAAUAGUGAUAAUCUCGAGGUGAUUUAUGCAUUCUUCCAUGGCCACCAGCCUUAUGAUUGCAUCUGUGCGUCACAGCUUAGAGAUCAAUAAUGGAUGCAACAAGCUCUUUGAAUCAUUCUGUUGGGAUCAAGAUUGUUGUGUUCCCUCUGUUUGGAAAGAGACCAAGAAUGGAUACGCUCAGGUGAUUUAAGCAGUCUUCCAUGGCCACGAGCUCUGUGGUUGCCUCUGUAUAUUAAGAGCACAGAGAUUAAAAAUGGGUGCACUUGAGCCGAUUGAAACAUUCCUCCUUGCAUCUUUCUUCUGUGAUUGCAUCUAUUUGUUAGUAGCAUAGAGACCAAUAAUAGAUGGCUUGUGCUGAUGGAAGGAUUCCUCCCUGGUGACAUGCUGUGUCUGCCUCUUGAUUGGGAGCACGCAGACCUACAAUGAUGCACUUUUUAUGAUUUGAGAAUUCCUUCAUGGUCACGUGCUCUGUUUUUAUCAUGGUUGGGAGCCUGCAGAGCAAUAAGGGACAUGCCUUUGCUGAUUUGAGGAUUCCUCUGAGGUUGGGAGCUAAGUUUGCAUCAUGCUUAGAAAGGAGUGUGCAGACCUGUAAUGAUUGCACUUUGCUGAUUGAAGGAUUCCUUCAAGUCCAUGUGCUCCACUUGCACCAUUUUUAGGAUGGAGCCUGGAGACCUAUAAUGAACAACUUGUGCUGUGUUAAGGAUUCCUCCAUGAUCACGCGCCCCAUUUGUACACCAUGCUUGGGAAGGUGCAUGCAGACCAAUGAUGGACGUACUUGUGAUGAUUUAAAGAUGCCUCCAAGGUCACGUGCUCUGUUUGCACCAUGCUUAGGAAGGAGCGUACAGACCAAAAAUGGAUGAAUUGUGCACCUUGAAAAGUUCUUCCAUGGUCACCUGAGGCAUCUGCGUCAUGAUUAGGCUCCGGAUGACUAAUAAUGGACGUACUUGUUCUGAUUUGAGGACUUCUUCAUGGUCACAUGUUCUGUUUGCACCAUGCUUAGGAAGGAGCAUGUGUACCAAUAAUGGAAGCACAGAAGCUGGUUUUAAUAGUUAAGAGCUGUAUGGUCCAUCUCUGUGCUAGAAGCUGGAGACCAAUAACAGUCACUCCCUGCACUGAUUCUGCCAUGACCACUUGCUCUAUGGUUGUUUUAAGGAACCUACAGACAAAUAAUAUUAGAGCACAG
RNAcentral lists this long non-coding RNA (6183 nucleotides) under Homo sapiens (human). Its description in RNAcentral is "HSALNT0379275". The stretch from base 4105 to 4176 matches the Rfam family "Small nucleolar RNA SNORD113/SNORD114 family". Lineage: Eukaryota; Metazoa; Chordata; Mammalia; Primates; Hominidae. The record is from RNAcentral.